UACGAAGGGGGCUAGCGUUGUUCGGAAUUACUGGGCGUAAAGCGCACGUAGGCGGAUUUGUAAGUCAGGGGUGAAAGCCCGGGGCUCAACCCCGGGAGGCGGAUGGAUACUGUCAAGCUCGAGUCCGGAAGAGGCGAGUGGAAUUCCAGGUGUAGCGGUGAAAUGCGCAGAUAUCUGGAGGAACACCAAUGGCGAAGGCAGCUCGCUGGGACGGUACUGACGCUGAGACGCGAAAGCGUGGGGAGCAAACAGG
This 253-nucleotide ribosomal RNA is filed under the name uncultured bacterium. Its description in RNAcentral is "partial 16S ribosomal RNA". It matches the Rfam family "Bacterial small subunit ribosomal RNA", at positions 524 to 776 of the family's 1533-position model. The record is from RNAcentral.